GUAAACGGCGGCCGUAACUAUAACGGUCCUAAGGUAGCGAAAUUCCUUGUCGGGUAAGUUCCGACCCGCACGAAUGGCGUAACGAUGGCCACACUGUCUCCUCCUGAGACUCAGCGAAGUUGAAGUGGUUGUGAAGAUGCAAUCUACCCGCUGCUAGACGGAAAGACCCCGUGAACCUUUACUGUAGCUUUGCAUUGGACUUUGAAGUCACUUGUGUAGGAUAGGUGGGAGGCUUUGAAGCAGAGACGCCAGUCUCUGUGGAGCCGUCCUUGAAAUACCACCCUGGUGUCUUUGAGGUUCUAACCCAGACCCGUAAUCCGGGUCGGGGACCGUGCAUGGUAGGCAGUUUGACUGGGGCGGUCUCCUCCCAAAGAGUAACGGAGGAGUUCGAAGGUUACCUAGGUCCGGUCGGAAAUCGGACUGAUAGUGCAAUGGCAAAAGGUAGCUUAACUGCGAGACCGACAAGUCGAGCAGGUGCGAAAGCAGGACAUAGUGAUCCGGUGGUUCUGUAUGGAAGGGCCAUCGCUCAACGGAUAAAAGGUACUCCGGGGAUAACAGGCUGAUUCCGCCCAAGAGUUCAUAUCGACGGCGGAGUUUGGCACCUCGAUGUCGGCUCAUCACAUCCUGGGGCUGUAGUCGGUCCCAAGGGUAUGGCUGUUCGCCAUUUAAAGUGGUACGUGAGCUGGGUUUAAAACGUCGUGAGACAGUUUGGUCCCUAUCUGCAGUGGGCGUUGGAAGUUUGACGGGGGCUGCUCCUAGUACGAGAGGACCGGAGUGGACGAACCUCUGGUGUACCGGUUGUAACGCCAGUUGCAUAGCCGGGUAGCUAAGUUCGGAAGAGAUAAGCGCUGAAAGCAUCUAAGCGCGAAACUCGCCUGAAGAUGAGACUUCCCUUGUGGUUUAACCACACUAAAGAGUCGUUCGAGACCAGGACGUUGAUAGGUGGGGUGUGGAAGCGCGGUAACGCGUGAAGCUAACCCAUACUAAUUGCUCGUGAGGCUUGACUCU
RNAcentral lists this ribosomal RNA (1008 nucleotides) under human metagenome. Its description in RNAcentral is "bacterial LSU rRNA". It matches the Rfam family "Bacterial large subunit ribosomal RNA", at positions 1923 to 2925 of the family's 2925-position model. The record is from RNAcentral.